AUUGAUCGCUGGCGGAAUGCUUUACACAUGCAAGUCGAACGGCAGCACGGGGGCAGCCCUGGUGGCGAGUGGCGAACGGGUGAGUAAUACAUCGGAACGUGCCCGGUCGUGGGGGAUAACGUAGCGAAAGUUACGCUAAUACCGCAUACGAUCUGAGGAUGAAAGCGGGGGACCUUCGGGCCUCGCGCGAUCGGAGGGACCGAUGUCAGAUUAGGUAGUUGGUGGGGUAAAGGCCUACCAAGCCGACGAUCGGUAGCUGGUCUGAGAGGACGACCAGCCACACUGGGACUGAGACACGGCCCAGACUCCUACGGGAGGCAGCAGUGGGGAAUUUUGGACAAUGGGCGCAAGCCUGAUCCAGCCAUUCCGCGUGCAGGACGAAGGCCUUCGGGUUGUAAACUGCUUUUGUGCGGAACGAAAAGGCUCUGGCUAAUACCUGGGGCUCAUGACGGUACCGGAAGAAUAAGCACCGGCUAACUACGUG
Molecule: ribosomal RNA, 484 nt
Filed under: uncultured bacterium
Lineage: Bacteria
Description: partial 16S ribosomal RNA
Rfam family: Bacterial small subunit ribosomal RNA
Source: RNAcentral